Molecule: long non-coding RNA, 928 nt
Organism: Chenopodium quinoa (quinoa)
Lineage: Eukaryota; Viridiplantae; Streptophyta; Magnoliopsida; Caryophyllales; Amaranthaceae
Exons: 3
Source: RefSeq, a predicted model, not a curated record
GAUAUGAUUAACUAAAUUAUACGGAGUAUCAACUUAAAUAAUCCUAAAAAUCUUGCCAAAAAAAAAAAAUUAAAAGUCCUAAAGAUAUUAUUUUCCUAAUUUCAAUAUGAAAAUUAAAUGAGACAAAUAUAUUUUUCGAAAUGGAUUAUACCUCAUAUCUCUACCAAAUGAGUACAUGGGAUAAUAUAUAAGGGCCGAAGGGGUCAAGGCUUCAAGAAAGUACAUCAUUAGGUACCAAAAUAAAUUUCGUUGAGCAAACCUUCAACCAUAUCACAUAACACAAGGAAGAAUUAAAAUUAUCCAAACCCCACAUAAUAAACUGCGACAAAUUUGUUGAUUUUCUCUCUUUAAAUGUUGGGAAGCUGAGGAUAUAUUAUCGACAAAGUAAUUAACGUAUCAGCAGUCAAUCAAGGUAUUGAGGAAAUAAGAGAAAUGGAUUUUGAAAGUUUUUCCCAACAACCAAGAGAAUUGGAAAGAGUGCAAAAAGAGCAUGAUGAAAAAACUAAAAGGAUUGAAGAGUUAAAGAGCCAAAUCAAUGACGCGAAGCGCGAAUUAGAGAAGAACAAGAAGGAAGAAGAUGUCAAGAAAAGGGAGAGCUUCAAGUGUCUUACUCAAAAUUACAACCAGCUGAGGCAAGAAUUUGAUAAGAUGUGAUUUACUAAGACAUGUGGAGUAAUAAACUUAAUUAGGUUUCUAGAUUGGGAUUAAAUAAUAAGAAGCUAAUGCUAGUUAAUCAAGGAUCAAUUCAGAGAUGAUUGAUACUUGAUUAUUCGUGUUUAAGAUUAGUGUAGUAGUAUAUGUAGUUAGGUUUAUCAAUGCUCAUAUUUACUCGUAUGUAAUAAACUAUGCAUAUUGUGCUUGCUUUGAAUAAGAUUAUGUGACCUUAAUUUGGGUGCAAAAUAAUGUGACGUUGAUUUAGGUGCAAAAA